This 273-nucleotide unclassified non-coding RNA is filed under the name Hevea brasiliensis (rubber tree). The record is from RNAcentral. Lineage: Eukaryota; Viridiplantae; Streptophyta; Magnoliopsida; Malpighiales; Euphorbiaceae.
GAUAGUUUUCCGUACUUUCUCCUAAAUUUAUAUGAUGCUUGAAUGAAACUGAAUCCAAGUAGGGAGAUAGGAUAUGGCGUUUGAACAUGUAAAACAGCCCCUUGAUAAGAAAAUGAAAUCCAAAGAAACCGUACACAUGCUAAUUACAUUAUAUGUAAUAGAAGACACAAAUAGCUUGCAAAGCUUCUGCAGCUACUAAUAAUAGGAUUCAGACAGGGGAAGUGUUACCCAUUUAUAUUAUAACAGACUCAAUUGAAUAUAUAUAUAUAUAUA